This 468-nucleotide ribosomal RNA is filed under the name uncultured bacterium. Its description in RNAcentral is "partial 16S ribosomal RNA". It matches the Rfam family "Bacterial small subunit ribosomal RNA", at positions 28 to 507 of the family's 1533-position model. The record is from RNAcentral.
GACGAACGCUGGCGGCGUGCUUAACACAUGCAAGUCGAACGGAAAGGCCCUGCUUUUGUGGGGUGCUCGAGUGGCGAACGGGUGAGUAACAUGUGAGUAACCUGCCCUUGACUUUGGGAUAACUUCAGGAAACUGGGGCUAAUACCGGAUAGGAGCUCCUGCUGCAUGGUGGGGGUUGGAAAGUUUCGGCGGUUGGGGAUGGACUCGCGGCUUAUCAGCUUGUUGGUGGGGUAGUGGCUUACCAAGGCUUUGACGGGUAGCCGGCCUGAGAGGGUGACCGGCCACAUUGGGACUGAGAUACGGCCCAGACUCCUACGGGAGGCAGCAGUGGGGAAUAUUGCACAAUGGGCGGAAGCCUGAUGCAGCAACGCCGCGUGCGGGAUGGCGGCCUUCGGGUUGUAAACCGCUUUCGCCUGUGACGAAGCGUGAGUGACGGUAAUGGGUAAAGAAGCACCGGCUAACUACGUG